CCAGCAGUGUGAAGAGACAACCCACAAUGUGGGAAAAAAAAAUCACCAUAUUUUCUUAACAUGAGCCUAAAAGAUAAACUCCUCCCCUUAUCACACUUCCUGAACCUCCUGCAUGAGCCCCGGGAGCACAAGCUCCUAACUGCUUUAGAACAACUGAGCUCAACCCCAUAACAUCAUCAGCAUUGUCAUUUUGAUGCCACUUCCAGGCUUGGGCAGUCAUGCUGGUUCCAUUGAGCCCCUUAUAAGUCCACAAUCUCCUCUCCUGCCACGGAGGUAGAGACUCACAGUUGAUUGAAAAGAAGCCCAAUUAGUUACCACCCCCAAAUUCUAGGAAAUUCUAGGAAAACAAAAGAGAAGCCAACCCUGGAACUCACUGCAGCUGCCGUCUCUACCCUGCUGCCCUCUGUUCUUGAGGGUGGACUUAGGUUAUAGCAGUCACCAUUUCCGGGGCCUGACUGUUUGAAACUCUCCCCAGUGUACUUUAACCACAAUCUAACCAGAAAGGAGGGGCCUCUGGGAGUCAGUCUCACUCUUGAGUUUUCUCAUUGGCCCAGUCCUGCUCUGUGGAGGAUAUUUUCCCUUUCAUAAAUCAUUGCCUUUCUUACCAUUUCUGUGUAGCCUGCCCAAUUCUUUUUUCAGGAUACAAAGAGCCUGCAUGUUGAGGGAGACCAAGAUCAACUGUCUGGUAACACUUUCAGUUAAAUUAAGUUGUAGUUCCAAAAGCACCAUGGGUGAAACUAUCAGGAUAGCAAGUGUAAAAUAUUCAGUAAUAAUACAAUUGUACUUUUUUAUGAUCUUUUUAAACUUAGUAUUUCCAUCUAUUCAACUUUUAUGUCCCCCUCUCCAUGCUGUACUCCAAGCCAGAAACUCCCCAGUCAUACACAGCAGGCUGAGGAUUACCUCCCCUGCCCCAUACCCCCUCCUUGUACACACCUGACCCUAACCACACGCAUACAUACAACAUGGGAAAAUUUUAACGUAUUAUCAUGUCUUUAACUGCAAAGAGUAAAAAGCUCUUUUCUUGAGAUCAAGCAAUCACAAAGAAUAAUAUAAGUAAAUUAGCUAUUUUGUGAUGCGUCGAGUUUCUAACACUAAAAUCAUGUGCUGCCCUAAAGUGCUAAUUUAAAUUCCAAUCUUAUAGAGAAAUUUUAACAUCAUCCUUUUGGCAACAUACUUCUAAGAUUUGUAGUCUAUUUACUUUAAUGGUUCUAAAAGAAGUCUCCAUAGGGCCAGGGAUUUAGUUCAGUGGUUCUGCCGCCUUCCUCGCAAGCGGAAGGUCCUGAGUUCCAUCCCCGGUACCAAAAAAAAAAAAAGAAGAUUCUAUAUAUGCUAAAAGAUGAAGUCUUGUUACCAUUAAAAAGGGUCUAAAGAAGUUGUUCAUAAAGUUAUUUUAAGAGCAAACAUGCAUUUUCAUUUUUGUCUACGUAGUAAUUCUUACAGUAUAAUUUCCAAAACAUGCAGCUGAAUGCUUCCACACAGGUGUGCUAUGAAGCUGGAGAGACAUUGUGCUCUAUGCAUUCAAGCAUGUGUUUCGGUGCUGGUCUUUUCACAACAAACACUUCAUAGGCUUCCUGCUGUUUAUUCCGGGAGCAUAUAUUUGGUCUUUUUAUAGUAAAGAAAUUUACAAGGAAACUCUGGAAGCUUAUAAAAUCAACAGGAAAAAGCUAUAAAUUCUUAUAGAGGUGACUGAGUUGGUAAGGAAGUGAUUGCAAAAAUCCUUUAUGACUUAAGCGGAUGAUGAGAUAACAGUGUUACCCUUUUAGUCCUUCUCUUACUAUUUCACUCUCCCCACAACUCUUUUGCAUUUAUGGGAAAAUUUAACUCAGUGUGUUAUAAAUUAGUGUUCCAUCAGGUGGAUCCAGGGCCUAAGGGUCCCUCCAGGGCCUGUCUUUCUCUCCCACAUAGAAAGAGGAGGAGGAAUCAGAGCAGACCAGUGUGAAGAAAAGACUUUAUUGCAGGUAUUUCAAGAAGUGGUACAAACCCAUCCCGGGGAAGAAGUGGGGUGCUCAGACCUGAGACACCACCACAUCUGGGGUGGAGGUCCUGUUUCCUGAGGUAGGGGUCAGUCUCCACCCCUUUGAGCGGCCACACUUGAUGAGUUACUAAACUUGUUGCCAGGGCCCAGAGUAAGUGAGCUGAUAAGGGAAUUUCGAAGGGAAGCUUUUUUGUUUGUUUGUUUCAUUUAAGGAGAAGUAACCUACUUAAAGAGGGUAUUGGGGGAACAGUGCGGCUAUGCAAAACCCAGGCUGCCCGCUCUGCUGUCUGCUGCUUGCAGAGAUGCGAAGGGGCCCAGUCCCUAAUCUAAUUCCACCUGAGAAGUCACUGUUCCUACAAUACCAUACUUUAAACAUCACUCUUGUUUUCAAGAAUAUCAAGGGAAGGGGGAAAGAGUAGGAGGAGAAAAGGGUGUCAAAAAUGAUCAAGAUAGGAUAUACAUAUGUUUGUACGAAUUCCCAAGACAAAUAUAAAUAUUAUGGAUAACAAACAUAUACCAAUAAAAUGGAAAAAAAUGUAGCAGUCUGUAUAUUUAUAGUAAAUACAUGGAUUAAUACUAGUAGCUAAUUCUGGGUAAAAUCUCACCACAGAUAGGCCCUGUCUAUAUCUAUACCCAUUUAAUCUUCCCCACAAACCUAAAUGGUAAGCACUAUUAUCAUCUGGUUGGUAGUUGAAGGAAAUGAACCACAGACACCUCAAAUAACUUCCCCAAGAUAUCAGUGGAUGUCUGGCUGAAGUUCUUAACCUUUACUUUAUACUCACUAACAGCAAAAAUGAGAAGAACCACUUUUCAAGAAUGCAAAUUUUGUUCCAGGAACAUUCAUUAUCUCACUUCACCUUUGUGCUCCUGUGAGUAAAUAAUGUCUCUGUUCUACAGAUGAGGAAACCAAGGCUUCGAGGUACCCAAUAACUGGCUUAAAGUUACUGUCAAAACACAGGGCCCUCAUACAUGCUUCUACGGCAGUCUUAAUCCAUGCUUCAUUCUCCAAGAUUUGCCUCAUACUUCUGCCACGCUUAUGCCAACACAUCAACUGCGCUUUAUGGAGCUUCCAGCUCACUAUAUCACGUGUUGAAUGCUAGUAAAUAAUGGAGCUGAAACUCUGGAAUUGCAAAGAGGAUAUAAAUUGUGAUCCUACUAUUUCUAGUCAGAAAAGUUUAAAACUGGCAUCUGUGGCCCUCACUUCUCUGCCAGACUCCAUGUCCCGAAGGCUGACCUUGCAGAGUGCACCACCUGGGCUACCUGUUCAGUUCAACCAACAAGAAUUGUCCUCUUCCACUGCCUCAAUGCUAAGGAUCCAACUGUGGCUUCUCCUUUUAUAACAACUCCUGAUAGACUCUUACCAUAACACCAGCUCUCCCUAAGAUCCAAAAACAUGAUUGCCUCCCCUGUUCCUUUAGGCCUAACAGUAAUAUCAUCUUCUUCUUACAGCCAUACGUGGGUGCCGUAGGAUCCCUUGCUGAUGUGAUCCAUUCAUAGUUCUAUAUAAGGUGCCUUCAUUCAAUUCUCAUCAGAGCCUAAUGUGACUGUGCAUUUUCAUCUUGCCAGGCCCCUGAGUGAUAUAACAAAUACUUAUAACAGACGGAAAUGGUGGAGGACAAGGGACCCCACUUCAGAGCCCCUACCAUAGGCCAAGCAGACAGCCAAGUAAUUUUAUGGUUGAUAAUAAAUGUCAAUCACUCUGAAGAAAGGGGUGUGAGGCAGGGUAAGACAAAGCGGGUGUCACAGGAAUUUGAGACAUAGGUUUCAGAUCCUUGCCAUUAGGUACUCCUAUUUCCCCAACUCAGAAUUUGAUAAAAGAAGGAGAAUCAGAACUAAUCCAUUCAGUUAGCCUGAAUAACAGAAAUGCUAGAGUGUAAAAUGUAGAUGUAAAAUAUUCUUCCAAGUUUGAAUGCAAUUUAAAUAGAAAGAGUGAAGGAAAGAGCAAGUAUUUAACUUUUUUUUUGUACCAUUCUAUGUACCUUAGUGUAGCACAGAGGUGAGCAGACAUAAACAUGAUUAAUGAAGUGACUAAUGUCCUCACUUAAAUCUCUGGAAUGGUUUACAAUUUUAAAAGGGUAUACCAUCAAAAGGAUGUGUUCCCCCCCUUCACACACACACACACACACACACACACACACACACACACGUUUAAGCAUGACUUAAAUAAUAGAAAAAAUAGUAACCAGUGGCAAGUGUCUAGCACAGGAAUGAUGACGGGUCCUGAGUGCUGUGGAUUGGAUCGGGAAUGUGCUCUAAAGGCCCAUAUUCACAGCCUCGGUCUAUAGCGUGGUCCUAUUGAGAGGUUGGGGCAACACUAAGGGGUGAGGCCUCAUGGGACGUUUUAGGUCACUGAGGCUGCACUUGAUGGGGAUUGUGGACCCUGGAAUCUUUUUCUUUUUCUUUUGGUUCCCAGCCAUGAGCAAAUAGCUUUGCUCCUCCUCCCUGCUCUCCUACCAGGAUGUGCUGCUCUGCCACAGGUCCAAAAGUAAUGAGGCCAACCAACUAUGGACUGAAGCUUCCUAAACUGUGAGCCAAACAAAACCUUUCUUGUGAUAAAUUGAUCAUCUCAGAUAUUUGUUUUAGUAAUGGAUAUCUAAGAUAGAAAAUUCUGGGUUAGGCCUUAGCAACCACCACAGUUAGAUGAUUCAAAGGUUAUCUUAUUAAAAUAUUCUAAGUAUCAGUUCUGUCAGGAAAAAAUAACUGCGAUCUUUUUUAUCAAUAUUUUUUCUUUUUUUGCAAGUUUUUUUAAAAAGUAGAACAGAAAAGGUACUUUAGAUCCUUUGUGCACAACCUAUAACCAAACAAAAUAACCACAGCCUAGGGGAGAAUGUAAAAUGUAAAGGACUCAUAAAGUACAAUGUUUUGCAUUUCUCUUUUUUGUUUUCAUCCUGCUUUGAUUUUCAACAUGUGUAAAUCAUUCUGUUACCAUAAACUUAAUGAAGUAAAAGAGCAAAGAUCAAAAAUGUAAUAAUAAAGUAAAGUUUUAAUGACUUACAUUUUUGGCCUGAUCAGGUUGAUUAUAUUUGAUAUACAGUCCAAGGGUUUGUAUUUUAGAUGAAACUUUUCUGAAGACUGUUCAUGUGUUCCAGAUGUGACCUAGUUUUUUUCUGGGAAAUGAAUACUAAGCAUGGCACAGGCACGUCUAACAGACAUGGCUAUUUCAAGAGUUUGUAAUGUUGUACAAGUAUAGCAACAAAAUAUGUAAAUCCAGCUGCCUAAUGAAAAUCUUUAUUGAUCCUGUACUAUGUGCUAAGUGAUAUUCUAGGCUCCAGAAAUGCAAAUAUAGAAGACAAAUCUUCAUCUACAGGAGCUCAUGAACUAGAGCUUAAAAGAAAAACAAACAUAAAACCUGUCAGAAUGAACAAGAAAACAACUGUGAAAAAUAAAAUCAAAGUAUAGUAUGAGCAGUAACAGAAGCCAGAGACAGGUAGAAAAAUAUUGCAUAAAAUAUACUAAUUUGUUCUGUUUAAAAAUGAUUCAGGUAAGGUUUCCCAGAGUGGAUAAAAUCAGAGCAAAUUCAAAAGUUUAAAGUACAGCUUGACAUCCUCUUCAAUUAAAUCACAACCUAUUUUUGGACAAACGUCCACUUGGAUCAGUGAAAAACAGAGAAGAUGUCUGACAGAAUGCUAGACAUAAAGUGAGAAUACUUCAUCUCCCUUCUUGUAUAUUUUUAGAAUAAAUGUAUGUCUUAGUUACUGCUGUAGUCACUGGGACAAAAUACUUGACAUCCACAACGUAUCAGAGGACAGGUUUAUUUUAGCUCAUGUUUACAGUCCAUAGUCAGCUGGCUCCAAGUUAGGAUGCCAUGGAAGACGGGCAUGGUGGGGGACGGAUGCUCAUGGCAUGAUUGACAGCAGAGGGAGUAAAGGGAGGAGCAGGGAGCCCCUUCAUGCCCCACCCACAGUGACCUGUCUCUUUCAACCAGACCUUGCCUCCUAAAAGCAAGUCAGCUAUCAGAGGCCAUAAUCAAAUCACCUCCUAAAAGCUCCACCAAUGAGCACACGAGGCUCCUGUGGGACAUCUAGAUAUAAACUGUAACAUUCUGCUCUGUCCUCCACAAGACUCAUGCACAUCUCUUUAUGCAAAAUCCAUUUAGUCCAUGUCUAAGAGUUGCCAAAGUCUUAACAAUUUCAGAAUUGCUGAAAAAGUCCAAAUUUGAAGUCUCUACCAAGACUUAAGGCAAACUCUUAAUUGUAAGCCCUUAUAAAAACAAAAAGUUAAACACUGCUAAUAUAUAAUGGCACAGGGCAAACACUCCCAUUCCAAAAGAGAGGACUAGGGGAAUAGAAACCACUGGGAUCAAAGCUCAACUGAAACUCGGCCGGAAAACACUAAAUCAUACAGUCCAUGUCUAGCUUAAGCUCCACAUGCCUUGGCCAGCUCUGCCCCUACAGCAUUGCCAGUGGUUUUAGCCCUCACAACCUCAGUCUUUAGAUGAUGGCUCUACUCACUUCCUGUGACCUUCCUCAACUGAUGUUCCAUGUUCUUGGCAUCUCCAGCUUCUUAAGGUCUUCACAACACUUUUGGCUUCUCUCUCACAGCUUAAAGCACUGCCAUCUUAGGCACACUGCUUGGCUUCCCAGGCCUACUUUUGAAAUUUGGGUGGAAGCCUCUCUUAACUCACAACUCUUGAAUGCUGUACGAUUCUGUAUGUCUAUAAAACCAGUGACAUAGACAUUGACAAGGUCUGAUGCCAGGUCAAGUAGUAGCCAGGCCAUUUUACAUCAUGGCUGUAGUGGUCUCCAAGAGCCUGGAUGGCUGAGCACUGUGGAAUCCUGAGGAACCAAUUCCUUAGGUGACCCUUUCCAAGCAUGGUGCCCCAGGGCUCUCUUCUCAAAUGAAAACUUCAUAGCCUUGCAUCCUCAAACAUGCAAUGAAUGGGGUCUUACUAAUUCCUUACAUGCUCUCAAGCCAUUGUUUUUAUUUUGUUGCUGUUUCUAUUAUACUUGGCUUCUUUUUAAAGCUAAACUUUACAGCAACACAGGCUUUCCUCACUUGAUCUUUGCAGAUGUUCCCUUUCUGGCAAAACUAAUUCAAAUGGGCUUUUUGUGCCUGAUUUUCAAUAUAAACCUGGCUGAAAUCAGCAAGAAGUACCCAUGAUACAAUCUGAAUUUUGGCCUGAUAUAUAUAUGCAGAAACACAUUAACAAAAUAGGAAAGACAUACACGUGACAAUAACAAUACUUAUUUGUGCAAGAGGUCAUGAAGUUGUAGCUGGAAUUUAUAACCAUUCAUCUACUACCCAUUCUGCAUUCCCUAGGCCUUCAGCAAGCACUUCAGCAGGUCUUGGUUCUUUACCUAGCAGGGCGAUUUAUAUCUUCAUUCUUGAAGAUUCUGGGCCAUAUGUCAACCUGCCUGGACUGAGUUGUGAUUUCUCAUUGACCUUAACCAUACUAGGAGGCACCGUAAGGAUCUUGGGCACUCCAAAUAUAUUCUUCCUUUUCUCCAUUGUGGAGUCCAAUUUCCCCUUGGUAGUCUGGAUCCAUUACCCCUACCAACAUCAUGACUCCCUUUUUAGCUUAUUUACUCAGAGACACAGGAGCCCAAAAUGACAAUGGAGAAGUCUGGGCUACCAAGUCACUGGAAUCAUUGUUGCGCUACCUGAUACAAGCCUUCCACCCUCUGGAAGUAAGAUGUCUAGGCUAGCAGGGCAUAAAGUCAUAGGAACAGGAAGCAAAAAUUUUACUGGUGAGUCAUUAAGGGUAAUGGAUAUAUAUUUUGUAUUAAAUCUGUUCAUCUAGUGAACCCUAACUGAUACAAGGUAAAAUACACAAUGUAAUUGUGUAUUUUUAAGAGUACAAUUCAGUGGUGUUUAGUACAUUCACAAUGGUUUCAGCCUUUACCAAUGUCUAAUCUUAGAGCAUCUUCACCACCUCAAAAAGUCACCCUGUGUGCAUUAAGCAAUAACUGGCCUUUCCCAUUUUCCCUCAGUGCAUGGAAACCAUUAAUCUAUUUUCUGUCUCUUAUGCCUAUUCUUCACAUUUCAUAUAAAUACAACUGUAUAAUAUGUAGCCUUUUUACAUUUGUAUCCUUUCUCUUAACAUAAUGUUUGUAAGGCUCAUGGAUGUUGUAAUAUGAAUCAAUACUUCAGUACUUUUUAUGGCUAAAAUAUACAUAUAUAUGUAUACAUCUAUAUAUAUCACAUUUUGAUUAGCUAUCAUCUUUUAAUAUAGAUACUGGAUUGUUUCCACAUUUUGGCCUUUGUGAAUAGUGAUGCUAUGAAUAUUCAUGUACAAAUUUUUAUAUUAAUAUGAUUUCAGUUCUCUUGAGUAUAUAAUUAUGAGUGGAACUGCAGGGUCAUAUGACAAUUCUAUGUUUAAAUGUUCUGAGGAGCCAUGAAGCUGUUUUUCUACUGUGGCUGUACCAUUUCAUAUUCCCACCAUCAAUGUAUGAAGUUUCCAGUUUUUUAAACCUUACCAAUGCUUAUUUUCCAUUUUUUGGUUAUUGUAGUUUUGUGUGGUUGUUUUCUUUUGUUUUAUAGCCACUGUGGUGAGCAGGAAAUGCUAUUCAAUGUAUUUUUUCAUUUGUAUUUCCUUGAUGAUUGAUGAUGUUGACCAUCUUUAUAUAUAUGCUUAUUGGCCUUAAAUAGCUCUUCCUUAGGGAAAUGUCUAUAUAGAGCUAUCUUAAAAUUGUGCUGCUUUUGUUGGUGCUGUUGGGAAACUGUAAAAGUUCUGUACAUACUCUGGAUCUGAUUUCUUCCUUCCAUUUUGAAUGUUGCUUUAUUUUCUUGAGCAGAAGUUUUGGUUUUGAUGAUUAUAACAUCACUUUUCUAUUUUUGUGUGUGUGUAUUCAAGAAAUAGUUGCCUUAUUCGAGGUCAUGAAGAUUGAUACCUAUGUUUACUUCUAAGAAUUGUAUACUUUUAAAACUUAUGUUAAAGUUU
Molecule: non-coding RNA, 8855 nt
Organism: Heterocephalus glaber (naked mole-rat)
Lineage: Eukaryota; Metazoa; Chordata; Mammalia; Rodentia; Bathyergidae
Source: RefSeq, a predicted model, not a curated record